AUAUCUCUCUGUACGGGAAGGAUGAGAAGCUUCGACUAAGGUUCGAUUCGAGCGAAAGCGAGAAAGCGUUGCCAACGGCAACG
This 83-nucleotide small RNA is filed under the name Salmonella enterica. RNAcentral's name for it is "partial RtT sRNA". It matches the Rfam family "RtT RNA", at positions 1 to 81 of the family's 130-position model. Rfam says of the family: This family represents a bacterial cis-regulatory element known as RtT RNA. The record is from RNAcentral. Lineage: Bacteria; Pseudomonadati; Pseudomonadota; Gammaproteobacteria; Enterobacterales; Enterobacteriaceae. RNAcentral also lists the same sequence under 1 other name.